This 624-nucleotide ribosomal RNA is filed under the name Vibrio harveyi. RNAcentral's name for it is "bacterial SSU rRNA". It matches the Rfam family "Bacterial small subunit ribosomal RNA", at positions 49 to 654 of the family's 1533-position model. The record is from RNAcentral. Lineage: Bacteria; Pseudomonadati; Pseudomonadota; Gammaproteobacteria; Vibrionales; Vibrionaceae.
CUACACAUGCAGUCGAGCGGAACGAGUUAUCUGAACCUUCGGGGGACGAUAACGGCGUCGAGCGGCGGACGGGUGAGUAAUGCCUAGGAAAUUGCCCUGAUGUGGGGGAUAACCAUUGGAAACGAUGGCUAAUACCGCAUGAUGCCUACGGGCCAAAGAGGGGGACCUUCGGGCCUCUCGCGUCAGGAUAUGCCUAGGUGGGAUUAGCUAGUUGGUGAGGUAAGGGCUCACCAAGGCGACGAUCCCUAGCUGGUCUGAGAGGAUGAUCAGCCACACUGGAACUGAGACACGGUCCAGACUCCUACGGGAGGCAGCAGUGGGGAAUAUUGCACAAUGGGCGCAAGCCUGAUGCAGCCAUGCCGCGUGUGUGAAGAAGGCCUUCGGGUUGUAAAGCACUUUCAGUCGUGAGGAAGGUAGUGUAGUUAAUAGCUGCAUUAUUUGACGUUAGCGACAGAAGAAGCACCGGCUAACUCCGUGCCAGCAGCCGCGGUAAUACGGAGGGUGCGAGCGUUAAUCGGAAUUACUGGGCGUAAAGCGCAUGCAGGUGGUUUGUUAAGUCAGAUGUGAAAGCCCGGGGCUCAACCUCGGAAUUGCAUUUGAAACUGGCAGACUAGAGUACUGUAU